This 622-nucleotide small RNA is filed under the name Pan troglodytes (chimpanzee). Its description in RNAcentral is "sense overlapping". The stretch from base 14 to 289 matches the Rfam family "SOX2 overlapping transcript exon 3". The record is from RNAcentral. Lineage: Eukaryota; Metazoa; Chordata; Mammalia; Primates; Hominidae.
CAGGGGAUUGCAGUGGCAAAGCUAGGCUAGGUCUUGGAGGCUGGUGUAAGGCGAUGCGGGUGAAGGCAGGAGGCUGAUGGAGAGACUGGGGGGAAGAAAAGCCGAAAUGGAUUCACGGUGCCUUGGAUGAAGGACGAGAGGGGAACUGCAAGCUCCUUCAACUGGUUCUGUCCGGUGAGAAGUGAUCAAGCUUGGGCUGACAAGAGGCUCAGGGAGCCCUCACGUUCUUUCGCUUUUUUACCUGCCAAUCAAACUGCUACAAGACAACACCCUGAUCUGGCAUGGACAUCGCGGGUCCAAGCCUGUAGCCCCAAAUCGGAUAAUCUCUGCAGCUGAUAACAAGCAAAAGAGAAGCCAGGCAACAGCCAUAUUAAAGAAGAAAACAGUCAACUCUGAGGAUGGCUGCCAGGGAAUAGAUGAAAGGCAGAAGUGGCGAUGGGUGACUGAUGUGGCACACUUAUGAAGAAAAGCCUCUUUUUCCAUGCUUGUUUUUCCUCCCCAAGGAGCCAACAGAGUUUCUAUUCUCCAACUCUGCUCUUCACCUUACCCAAGUCAUUACAGUCACCUGGAGUCACGGAAAUGACCAUGAUUGCCUGAACUUUCAUGACUUCUGUGGAUAACU